CAGGCUGGGUCUUGGAACCUGAUCUGGGUUUAUUAUGAUGAUCAAGAUAAGACUCUUCUGCUUCUAAAGCAGCAUUUCCUGUUCCUGUGGUACCCUAGGUUGGAUCUGUGUUAUCAAACUAAAAUUUGACAUAGAAUUCAAUGCAGAACAAUUUUCAUAAAGUAUGUGCCCUGUGAUGUUAUUUAGAUUAGAUUCAAAUCCAGCGGUUGGAAUCUUGGCUUUAUUAAGAGAGUGCUGAACAUACUCAGAAGUUUCAAGAGGUCCAGAUAUAAUGCAACACACUUUGAAGAAGUAGGGUUGAACUUGCUGAAGCUGCUCGAGGAUGACGAUGAAAAUGAAGUCUGUAUGGGACUAUUUCUACUGGCUGUACUGGCAAUAUCAAUUAAUCACCUGUGCCUACCUUUUCGACACAUGGGAAAGAAUAAUCCUCCACAGUUUUAUCAUUUCUGUUCUUGUUAUGAUGAUUUACACUGCUUAUAUCUACACCCUCCACAUCUGUCUGAUUCUUAAGUUCUUCUUAUACUUACCUGGAAACGAGCUUGAAAGCAAUGUUUACAUUAUGAAAUAACCUGGUCAUCCUGAUUAUGGCUUUUGGAUCCUGCAAGCUCUUGCUGUAAACUUGUGAAUUUUUUUUCUUCAGAAGACUUUAAACUGACAAGAUGAUGCAUAUCACUUUUUCUUCCCACCAGAUGUCAUCUUUAUCCUUCAGUGUCUUUUUUGUUGGGUUUUUUUCCCCAUCAGAACAUAUUACAGCCGCCCAUCGGGGAGGGGAUAGCAGGGGGCAGGGGAGCCAGGCUCUAUGCUCCGAACUCGGCAGCUGCUGUUUCCUGUGGGCAGCAGCUGGGGCUCAGGUGCUGCUGGGAUUGCGGGGCAGGGGGCUGCAGGUCUCCUUCUGGCCCUGGGUCACCUGGGAAGUGUGGGGGGGCUGCAGAUUGGGAGUGAGGGGCACUGGCAGGACCAGGGGACUGUGGGUUGAGAGUAAGGGGCACCUGGGGAGGCGGGGGGCUGCGAGUGGGGAAUGAGGGGCCAUGCUGAGGAAAUGGGAUCAUGCUGAGGAAAACUUUGGGAAGCACCGUAUUACAGGGCAGGUGGACUUACAACGUGCUUUUAGCUACUGUCUGCAGGAGGUCAGUUUCCUAGUAAAAACUGAGUGCAAGUUUGGAGUGAUUUGCAAGAUGCAAUAUUGGAGUUAAGGUUACCACACCUGCCUUAAAUCUGUGUGCCCAUAUUUUGUAGUAAUUUUGUAAUGCUAGAUUUAAAGCUCAUGCUUUUGAGUUAACUUUUUUUCUUUUCAGGCACUUGUCAAGCAUUAUUGAAACCUGCUUAAACUUACUGAAUGCCUGUGUUGUCUGGAAACUUCCUAAACUUUUUCUGGAAAACCUUAGCGUCAUCCAUAGUCCCCUGUAUUCUGCCAGAGGUGUAGUAGCACGGAUAGAAAGUUAAGGAGUGAAAGAGUUCAGUUGUAACAACAGAAGCUACAACUGGGAGCAGGUACUAUCAUUACCUUGUUCCUGGCAGUGCUUGUAACCUCUGCAGAGAUGGCGCUUCAGUCCUUGCAGAGCUUCCUAUGGUCACAGGAACAUUUUAUUGCUGGCCCUGGAAAGAGUAAGAACCAACAUUGCUACAAUUCUGGUUUCAUGUUACAGCUUUGUAGUUUUGUACUAGCUAUAGAAAAGCCUUCAGAAGUCACAUAACUUGACAUAGAAUUAUUAAAAGGACACCUAGAACAGCUAUACUGGAUCAUGCAGAGGACUUAUUUUUUGUUGCGAAACCUGAAACUCAAAUUUUAAUUUUGAAUAGUUUCAUUUUAGGAACUUGUUUAACUUAUUUGGAUAAAAUGUAUGCCAUCAGCUGGAUAAAGCACUUCUAUAGAACAUUU
This is a long non-coding RNA of Alligator sinensis (Chinese alligator), 1879 nucleotides long. RefSeq lists it as uncharacterized. Lineage: Eukaryota; Metazoa; Chordata; Crocodylia; Alligatoridae. The transcript has 3 exons. The record is from RefSeq and is a predicted model, not a curated record.